Molecule: ribosomal RNA, 253 nt
Filed under: uncultured bacterium
Lineage: Bacteria
Description: partial 16S ribosomal RNA
Rfam family: Bacterial small subunit ribosomal RNA
Source: RNAcentral
UACGUAGGGUGCGAGCGUUAAUCGGAAUUACUGGGCGUAAAGCGUGCGCAGGCGGUUUUGUAAGCCAGAUGUGAAAUCCCCGGGCUUAACCUGGGAAUGGCAUUUGGGACUGCAAGGCUUGAGUGCGGCAGAGGAGACUGGAAUUCCUGGUGUAGCAGUGAAAUGCGUAGAGAUGUGGAGGAACACCGAUGGCGAAGGCAGCCCCCUGGGUCGACACUGACGCUCAUGCACGAAAGCGUGGGGAGCAAACAGG